Molecule: ribosomal RNA, 237 nt
Filed under: uncultured bacterium
Lineage: Bacteria
Description: partial 16S ribosomal RNA
Rfam family: Bacterial small subunit ribosomal RNA
Source: RNAcentral
CGAGCGGGUGAGUAACGCGUGAGGAACCUGCCUCAAAGAGGGGGACAACAGUUGGAAACGACUGCUAAUACCGCAUAAGCCCACGGGUCGGCAUCGACCUGAGGGAAAAGGAGCAAUCCGCUUUGAGAUGGCCUCGCGUCCGAUUAGCUAGUUGGUGAGGUAACGGCCCACCAAGGCGACGAUUGGUAGCCGGACUGAGAGGUUGAACGGCCACAUUGGGACUGAGACACGGCCCAG